AUUGAACGCUGGCGGCAUGCCUUACACAUGCAAGUCGAACGGCAGCACGGGAGCUUGCUCCUGGUGGCGAGUGGCGAACGGGUGAGUAAUACAUCGGAACGUACCCUGAAGUGGGGGAUAACGUAGCGAAAGUUACGCUAAAUACCGCAUAUUCUGUGAGCAGGAAAGAGGGGGAUCGCAAGACCUCUUGCUUUAGGAGCGGCCGAUGUCGGAUUAGCUAGUUGGUGAGGUAAAGGCUCACCAAGGCGACGAUCCGUAGCGGGUCUGAGAGGAUGAUCCGCCACACUGGGACUGAGACACGGCCCAGACUCCUACGGAGGCAGCAGUGGGGAAUUUUGGACAAUGGGCGCAAGCCUGAUCCAGCCAUGCCGCGUGAGUGAAGAAGGCC
This 388-nucleotide ribosomal RNA is filed under the name uncultured bacterium. RNAcentral describes it as "bacterial SSU rRNA". It matches the Rfam family "Bacterial small subunit ribosomal RNA", at positions 30 to 416 of the family's 1533-position model. The record is from RNAcentral.